Bombus pyrosoma is the source of this 3002-nucleotide long non-coding RNA. RefSeq lists it as uncharacterized. The transcript has 2 exons. The record is from RefSeq and is a predicted model, not a curated record. Lineage: Eukaryota; Metazoa; Arthropoda; Insecta; Hymenoptera; Apidae.
UGUAAUCAUUUUUCAUGUUUCGCCACCGACGAGUUACAGAAGUCUCUAUCUCUACAAGGUGGCAUUGACUAAAUACAUAAUAGAUCUGACAUUAUUCAUAUGAGACAAUGAAUGGACUAUGGACCUUACCUGCUCAGACAACUAUAGAUGUUAUCAUCGCCUUUUCAGUAAGAAUGCUGUUAACCCCAACAACAUCUCGAUGGAUGGAGCUAUGUAUUUGAUUCUGAUGUAGUACAUAUUUCUAGAGGGAAUAAUAUUUGAUUGUAUCUUCGUAUCUUGAUAUACCAGUUAUCAAACCCAAAUCCUAAGGUACAAGGAAUAUAUGUAAAGUAAAAAAUGUAACAUCGAUGUCAAAGUAAAAUAGCCUUUAUUACAUCGUGAAACGAGGACAAUUUAAUGAACGUUCAACAAUUGCUAGAAUUCUUUCUCUCACUUACUUUCUCUCCCUCCCGUUCUUCCUUUCACACACACACACAUUCCUUCUCAUUCUCUCCCUUCAUUCAUAUCAUUCAGUUUCGUCUGUUUACACAUUUAAUCUCUUUUCUCCUUUUUCGUUUCUUUUCAUUUGUUGCUUGUUGUUCUCUCUUACCAACGUCUGACAUAAUUUCGCGUGCUCGUAAUGUUCUUCGAGAAUAAUGCAUUACAGGACACAUACUUUGUCAUCAUGUCAAACAUAAACUCGUUCGAUCUAUCCCCGUAAUUAAUUCCUCAUAUCCUGUCCCUUCUGUCCGCCCAUAAUUUCAUCACGAUCUCUGAGAUCGUUAACGAUUCUAACAUUAUACCCUUCCUCCUCAAUCUCUUUGUUUCAUUCUUUCUUUCUUUCCUGUUCCUUAUCCGUGUUUUUCUAUUAGUAAGCGGUACAUCAAUAGCAUACAUCAUUCAGAUCGAUUCCAAAACUGCACUCUCUCUCCCUGCAGAAAAAAGGCACGAACUGGCGGAAAAGUCGGCCUAACUGUAUAAUAUUUUCAUUUAUUUUAUUAUGGAUGGAACUUCGUCACAAUACAUUAUUUUUUUAAAUUUCAUUUUCUUUUUAUCUGCUGCUUCUUUCCGCAGUGUGUAACAGGUUCGGCUCCCGUUUCCGUUUUAACCAAAUUCAUCGAUUCGUGCUUCGAAAGUUCGCCGCGUAGUGCGCGCAGUGUUCGAUCCUUCCAACGUCCUCCCUCUUCCAUUAUAUUUUUUAUUUCUUUCCUUCUUCUUCUUUUUCUACUUUGUUUCUCUAUCUCAAAUGCCCAUAAUCAACGAUCGAACUUUUAAAAGGAGAUCGUUUUGGUUAGAAUAACAUACUUUUAAUUAUAAGAAUAUAUAUACUCCUUCUCCAAAAAGUGAUUGUUAUCCUGAAAUUCGUUUCGAAUUCAAUUUCAUGCUCCUUAUUUUGGUGACUGUAUUGCAAGACGAAAAAUAACUUAAAAAUACGUCGAUCUGAAACGAAACUGGUACAAUUACAAUUUUCCGCGAUAAAUUUUUGUUGAAAUUUAGAUUAAAAUAUUAUACAAUGCAAAGUGCUUAUCGAGCUGUUUUGCAACCGCUCGCUUCAACACCACGAGAUCAUUUCACCCGGAGAAGGCACUGCAUCCACUACGCAGCUGGAACCUUCCGGAUUUUAUAUUUUUUCCCCCACCGUCCUCUCAAAGUAUCUACCGCAUAUUACACUUCACUGUUACAAUAACAUCCGCAUCGCUAUUCCUGGCGACUAAAUGUAACCUUACGAAUGUAUUACCUAUGUACAUACAUGCUGUGCCGUGUACACACGUGUAUCCACGUACACGCAAGAGAUGCGUUCUUGUGCGUACACGUGCAAACCUCUCUGCAUUUAGCAAAUUUAUCCUUUUUUUCACACUUACAAUUUUUAUAUAUAUAUUAUAUGUACUAUUGUAAUUAAUGCUUACGCUCUCUAAUUUCUAAAAAGAAACGGUAUUAUUAUUGUCCUGCCGUAUUUUAUUUUCGAGUAUUUUUUUGGUGUACAUACACGCAAUACACGCACACACGCACGAUUCUGGUGCUUAUGUAACGUAGUCAUGGAAAGCUCGAUGGCAUAACCACCAGUGUUCGUCGAAUACAAUUUAAAGCGAAUAUGUUUGUUAUCCCUACGUGCAUCCCCCUCUUUAGAGAAAAAUCACAAUAUAUACUCUCAUGGAAUUCGUUUUAGAACACUUUUCAAUCAAACACGAAUAUAGAGGUACAUAUACUCUACGUGUCGGUAUCGUAGUGUUCUUUACAACUUUACGAAGAUUCGUUUAUGGCACGCCAUUUACUCGCUUUAUAUUUAUUGUCUACGGUUACAGGAAACAAUCGUUCGACAGAUAGGAGAGGCAUCGCAGGGAUAGCGUUACUUUCGACGAGAGAAUUCAUAUCGAGAUCGAAUCAUUGAAUUUCUAUAUUAUUUCGGUAACUAGGCAAGCUCGGUCGUUCACGGAAGGCAUCGUACGGUGCUCAUUUUUUUUUUAAAUCGUUGCAUCAACAAUCAUUAACAAUUUUUUUUCUUCUUUUUUCCUCGUAUUUCUCUCCUCGUUUUCUUAUAUUUCGUUUUAUUUCAUCAUGCUCGUAUGAGUUAUUAUUCACUUUUAGUUUAAUUACUUCAUCUUUUUUUCCUUGUUUUUUUACGUAGUUUUCACGUAAUAGUUUAGGAAAUAACGGAGACAUAACCGAUGCCGAUGCGCGAAAGCUGGCAAAAAUUACGCUGUAGUCUGUGUCUGUUAUUUUUAAUAGUACGUACAUACAUACAUCGAGGCGAGCAGGUUGCAAAUACUCCCGAAUCAGAGCAAAUAUUUCUAUCUUUAUAUAUCUAUAUUAAUAUAUUUAUAUAUUUAUAUUUAUAUAUAUAAUUUUUUUAUUCUUCAUUUAGUCACUUAUACGUAUGCAAUAUUGUCUUCGUAAAUUUCCUGCUUUUUCUUCCUGAUGUUCUAAACCCGUUGGUCGUGAAAGUAUUCGAAAGUACAGAAUCGAGGCGUUUUUUUUCAGAGAGAGAAUAAUUAUAUAUAAUUGAAAAUCGAUAACCGACGAAA